This 212-nucleotide long non-coding RNA is filed under the name Mytilus galloprovincialis (Mediterranean mussel). The record is from RNAcentral. Lineage: Eukaryota; Metazoa; Mollusca; Bivalvia; Mytilida; Mytilidae.
CAACGACACAACAUUAAAAUGUAACACACACAGAAACGGACUAAGCAUUAGACAAAAUCCUAUGAGAAUAACAAAUAUAACAUCAAAACCAAAUACAUGAAUUUGGGAUAGAUAAGUACCGUGACACGUCUUAUAGUAAUGUGAAUUCACACUCAAAAAUAAGAGAAAACAAACGAUACAACGGAAACACAACGCUAAAAUGUAACACACAC